UACGUAGGUGGCAAGCGUUGUCCGGAUUUAUUGGGUUUAAAGGGUGCGUAGGCGGCUUUGUAAGUCAGUGGUGAAAUAUGGCAGCUCAACUGUCAAGGUGCCAUUGAUACUGCGGAGCUUGAGUACAGAUGAGGUAGGCGGAAUUGACGGUGUAGCGGUGAAAUGCUUAGAUAUCGUCAAGAACACCUAUAGCGAAGGCAGCUUACUAGGCUGUAACUGACGCUGAGACGCGAAAGCGUGGGGAGCGAACAGG
This 253-nucleotide ribosomal RNA is filed under the name uncultured bacterium. Its description in RNAcentral is "partial 16S ribosomal RNA". It matches the Rfam family "Bacterial small subunit ribosomal RNA", at positions 524 to 776 of the family's 1533-position model. The record is from RNAcentral.